Non-coding RNA from Campylobacter ureolyticus ACS-301-V-Sch3b, 98 nucleotides. It matches the Rfam family "Bacterial small signal recognition particle RNA". Rfam says of the family: The signal recognition particle (SRP) is a universally conserved ribonucleoprotein involved in the co-translational targeting of proteins to membranes. The record is from Rfam. Lineage: Bacteria; Pseudomonadati; Campylobacterota; Epsilonproteobacteria; Campylobacterales; Campylobacteraceae.
UUCUUAGACCUGUGCAAUGUCAUUUUUAGGCACCGUUUCAGGGUAGGAAUACAGCAGAACAUCUAAGCUUGGUAUGUGCCGCAGCCAUCUGAGAAGGG